Aedes albopictus (Asian tiger mosquito) is the source of this 118-nucleotide non-coding RNA. Lineage: Eukaryota; Metazoa; Arthropoda; Insecta; Diptera; Culicidae. The record is from Rfam.
UGCCCAGCAACUCCUAUCCCUACCUCCACGCGGUACCGGCCGGAAACUAUGAGCAACCUUAGGAAAGAUCGGGUAACCAACCCCGGUGGGAACUUUGGUCGUAGGCUGACAGGGAAGG